CCUACGGGUGGCUGCAGUGAGGAAUAUUGGUCAAUGGGCGCGAGCCUGAACCAGCCAAGUAGCGUGAAGGAUGACUGCCCUACGGGUUGUAAACUUCUGUUAUAAAGGAAUAAAGUGAGGCACGUGUGCCUUUUUGUAUGUACUUUAUGAAUAAGGAUCGGCUAACUCCGUGCCAGCAGCCGCGGUAAUACGGAGGAUCCGAGCGUUAUCCGGAUUUAUUGGGUUUACAGGGAGCGUAGAUGGGUUGUUAAGUCAGUUGUGAAAGUUUGCGGCUCAACCGUAAAAUUGCAAUUGAUACGGGCAGCCUUGAGUACAGUUGAGGUCGGCGGAUUUCGUGGUGUAGCGG
This 346-nucleotide ribosomal RNA is filed under the name uncultured bacterium. Its description in RNAcentral is "partial 16S ribosomal RNA". It matches the Rfam family "Bacterial small subunit ribosomal RNA", at positions 338 to 681 of the family's 1533-position model. The record is from RNAcentral.